UACAGAGGUCUCAAGCGUUGUUCGGAUUCAUUGGGCGUAAAGCGUGCGCAGGCGGUUGGCAAAGUCAGCUGUGAAAGCCCCGGGCUCAACCUGGGAAUUGCGGUUGAAACUAGUCGACUAGAAUCUGGCAGAGGGGGGUGGAAUUCCACGUGUAGCAGUGAAAUGCGUAGAGAUGUGGAGGAACACCGAUGGCGAAGGCAGCCCCCUGGGCUGAGAUUGACGCUCAGGCACGAAAGCGUGGGGAGCAAACAGG
This 253-nucleotide ribosomal RNA is filed under the name uncultured bacterium. RNAcentral's name for it is "partial 16S ribosomal RNA". It matches the Rfam family "Bacterial small subunit ribosomal RNA", at positions 524 to 776 of the family's 1533-position model. The record is from RNAcentral.